Molecule: ribosomal RNA, 1616 nt
Filed under: uncultured marine eukaryote
Lineage: Eukaryota
Description: bacterial SSU rRNA
Rfam family: Bacterial small subunit ribosomal RNA
Source: RNAcentral
GAGUUUGAUCAUGGCUCAGGAUGAACGCUGGCGGCAUGCCUGACACAUGCAAGUCGAACGAAGGUACAAGCCUUAGUGGCGGACGGGUGCGUAACGCGUGAGAACCUACCCUCAGGAGAAGGAUAACUUACGGAAACGUUUGCUAAUACUUCAUAAGUCGAAAGAUGAAAGGAUCCCGCCUGGGAAUGGGCUUGCGUCCGAUUAGCUAGUUGGGGGGGUAACGGCUCACCAAGGCCACGAUCGGUAGCUGGUUUGAGAGGAUGGCCAGCCACAUUGGGACUGAGACACGGCCCAGACUCCUUCGGGAGGCAGCAGUGAGGAAUCUUCCGCAAUGGGCGAAAGCCUGACGGAGCAAUGUCGCGUGGGGGAAGAAGAACCUUGGUUUGUAAACUCCUUUUACUGGGAAAGAAUCCCAGCGUUCCUUGGUUGAGGGGAGCCCUCUUAGAGUGAACCCCUGCUAUAGCCAAGGAGCACGCGCCGGGCAGAGAGAGGGAAGGCUGGGUAGGGGCUAGCUCCUCCUUGGUUAUCCCGCUCUCUGAGAUGACCACCCAGAGAAUAAGCAUCGGCUAACUCCGUGCCAGCAGCCGCGGUAAUACGGGGGAUGCGAGCGUUAUCCGGAAUUAUUGGGCGUAAAGCGCCUGCAGGCUGUUUGGUAAGUCUGGGGUCAAAUACCACGGCCUAACCCUGGAAAGGCAACAGGAACUGCUAAACUGGAGGGUGGUAGAGGUAGAGGGAACUCCUAGUGUAGCGGUAAAAUGCGUAGAUAUUAGGAAGAACACCGGCGGCGAAAGCGCUCUACUGGACCAUUACUGACGCUCAGAGGCGAAAGCUAGGGGAGCGAGAGGGAUUAGGUACCCCUGUAGUCCUGGGCCGUAAACGAUGGGUACUAAGCGCUGGACAUCUACCAGUGCUGUAGUUAACGCGUCAAGUACCCCGCCUGGGGAGUACGCUCGCAAGGGUGAAACUCAAAGGAAUUGACGGGGGCCCGCACAAGCGGUGGAGCAUGUGGUUUAAUUCGAUGCAACGCGAAAAACCUUACCAAAGCUUGACAUGCCCUCCGAAGGGGGAGGGGACACAGGUGGUGCAUGGCUGUCGUCAGCUCGUGUCGUGAGAUGUCUGGUUGAGUCCUGUAACGAGCGCAACCCCUGUCGUCAGUUGUUACGUCUCCUCUCCCUCGGCGGAGAGGUGCAAAAAACUGGAGAGACUGCCGCUGAAAGCCGGAGGAAGGUAGGGACGACGUCAAGUCAGCAUGCCCCUUAAGCUUUGGGCUACACACGUGCUACAAUGGCCUAGACAAAGGGACGCUAACCUGAGGGGAGCUAAUCUCCAAACUCGGCCUAAGUUCGGAUUGCAGGCUGCAACUCGCCUGCACGAAGUCGGAAUCGCUAGUAAUCGCUGGUCAGAAUACAGCGGUGAAUACGCUCCCGGGCCUUGUACACACCGCCCGUCACACCAUGGAAGUCGGUCACACCCGAAGUCGUCUUUUGCCGACCGUUUUUCCGAGUGAGGCCAUCUUGAGAAGGUGUGGUUUCGCUUGGAAAGCAGGGACACGUUCCUGAGUGAGGCGGCGCCGAAGGAGGGGCUGGUAACCAGGGUGAAGUCGUAACAAGGUAACC